This 223-nucleotide long non-coding RNA is filed under the name Musa acuminata (dwarf banana). RNAcentral's name for it is "long non-coding RNA (MACU_LNC002800)". Lineage: Eukaryota; Viridiplantae; Streptophyta; Magnoliopsida; Zingiberales; Musaceae. The record is from RNAcentral.
UUGGGUCGGCCAUCGUCCCACUUGAUCGAUGCGUCCAAGCACGGCUACUGCUUGUGCACAGUCGACGAUGUCGCCAUUUCCCUUUCUCCCUUCCCGGCCUUGGAGCUGCCGCCGACCGAUGGAUUCUGUGCUUGCAUGCGUGUGGGUCACAAGACUUGAUGUCACAUCCGAUCGUUCGUCGCAUUUCUGUGGGUCUAAAAGCAAAUAGAACGGAUUGCCGAAU